Molecule: ribosomal RNA, 778 nt
Filed under: uncultured Neocallimastigales
Lineage: Eukaryota; Fungi; Neocallimastigomycota; Neocallimastigomycetes; Neocallimastigales
Description: partial large subunit ribosomal RNA
Rfam family: Eukaryotic large subunit ribosomal RNA
Source: RNAcentral
CGUCUAUAUACGUAUAGCAUAUCAAUAAGCGGAGGAAAAGAAACUAACUAGGAUUCCCUCAGUAACGGCGAGUGAAGCGGGAAGAGCUCAAAUUUGAAAUCUUCAAGGUUUUACCUUGACGAAUUGUAGUUUAAAGAAGUGUUUUCUGUUGGAUGUUUUGGUAAAAGUUCUUUGGAAAUAGGACAUCAUAGAGGGUGAGAAUCCCGUAUUUGACCAUUAUUUCCAGCUUUGUGAUACACUUUCAAAGAGUCGGAUUGUUUGGGAAUGCAGUCCAAAAUGGGUGGUAAAUUUCAUCUAAAGCUAAAUAUUGGCGAGAGACCGAUAGCGAACAAGUACCGUGAGGGAAAGAUGAAAAGAACUUUGAAAAGAGAGUUAAACAGUACGUGAAAUUGUCAAAAGGGAAGCGUUUGACACCAGUGUUGUUUUCUCGAAAAUCAAUUAAAAAUGGCGUGAUUUGUGUGUAUGCGACCUUAUCAGCUUUCUGCACUCUUUUCUUGUCCUUUUUAAUGCACUUUUCGUUUAACAAGUCAACAUCAAUUUCUUUUGUUGUAAAAGAGGUCAUUGGAAGGUGGCUUUCUUUUCGGAGAAAGUGUUUAUAGCCUUUGGCCUCUGCAAUCGGAGAGAUUGAGGUCUGCAGCGUAGAUCCUUCGGGGUUAGAUAGCAUUUAGUGCUAAGUUAUAGCCUUUCAUAGACAACUUGUUGACUAUGAUCAGUCAUGUAGCUUACUCGCUUAUGCUAUUUUACCUACGCUUAGGAUGUUGAAGUCAUCGUAUCGCGC